UUUUUUUUUUUUUUUUUUUUUUUUUCUUUUAAUUGGGUCUUUGAGAAGAUGGCUGUUAGCUGAACCUACUGUGGUAAUCAUUUCACUAUAUAUGUAAAUCAAGCCAUCAUGCUGUAUGCCUUAUUCUUAAUUAAUGAAAAUGGACAUUUAAACAGCUAUUAAAACUGUAUUCCACAUGUUCAAGAAACAUGAAGUAAGACUGAACAUGUUAAAGAGGAAUAUUAAAAAUAAAAAGAUGGCCAAGUCAAACAUCUAAAAAAUGAAAAUUACAAUGCCAAAGAAAAAUACUCUCAUGAGAUUAACAGCAGAUUAAACACUGCAGAAGAAAAUGUUACUUUGAAGACUUAGAAACUAUCCAAAAUAACACACAAAAAUUAAAAAGAUCUACCAGAGUCUCAGUGAGCUAAAGACAAAUUCAAAUUGUCUAAUGGACAUGUAACUGGAGCUCCCCAAAAAGAAAGGGAUGGGGAAAUAUUUGAAGACAUAAUAGCCAGACUAUAUUAAAAUGUAGUAUAAUUCAGGCAGCCCUGGUAGCCCAGUGGUUUGGCACUGCCUUCCGCCCAGUGUGUGAUCCUGGAGACCCGGGAUCGAGUCCCACGUUGGACUCCCUGCAUGGAGCCUGCUUCUCCCUCUGCUUGUGUCUCUGCUUCUCUCUCUCUCUCUCUCUCUGUCAUGAAUAAAUAAAUAAAAUCUUCAAAAUAUAUAUAUGUAGUAUAAUACAUAUUAAUGAAAUAUGUAAAGCUACAUAUUCAAGAAGUUCAAUGAAACCCAAGACUAAGAAUCAUAAAUAAAACUACACCAAGACACGUUGUGACCAAAUAACUUACAAUCUUUGUGAUAGAAAAGUCCUAUGGAACAAUAAAAUAUUCAACUAAUCCAAAAGAAAACAUUAAAAAAAGAUGAAAAGCAAAAUAAGGAACAGAUAGAACAAAUAGAAAACAAAUACCAAGAUUUAAACCCCAUCAUAUCAAUAAUCACAUUAAACUGUGAAUGGCCUACAAACAUGACUUAAAGACAGUAAUUAUCAGAUCAGAUUUAAAAAAUACAAAGUAAUACUCAAUUCUGUAUAUUUUUCUGUAUAUUGUCUAUGAAAAGGUUACAUUAAAAAAAUUACAUAAAGAAACUAAGAUAAGGAUGACAUCAGACUUCACAUCAGAAACAGUCAACCUAGAAGAUAGUAGAGAAACAUCCUUAAAGUUCUAAAUGAAAAAAAAAAUCUAUCAACUCAAAUCCUUUAUCUGGCAAAUAUAUCUUUUAAAAACAAAAGUAAAAUAAAGACAUUUUUCAAAUAUACAAAAGCUGAAAGAAUUCAUCAGUAACACAGCUGAAAUACAAGAAAUGAUACAGAAGAAAAAUGCUAUCAGAUGGAAAUUAUAAUCUACACAAAGUAACAAAGAGCACGAAAAAUAGCAACUAUAUGUUUUUAAAACAUUUUUCUUAUUAAGUAUCUUUAAAGAUAAUUGACUAUAUACAGCAAUAACAUAUUGUGGAUUUUGUGAUAUAUAGAGAAAUAAAAUAUACAACAAUAAUGAGUGAAAGGCUGGGGGCGGAAAAUGGGAGUAUGCUAUGGUAAGGGUUUUAUACAGUAUGUAAAGCAGAAUAAAAUUACCAGAAGUUAGAAUGUGAUAAAUUAGAGAUAUUUAUUACAAUCACCAAAGCAACUACUAAAAUAACACAACAAAGACCUCAGAUGGACGACCUCAACUUCUACCUUAAGAAACUAGGGCAGUGGCUGGCUGACUCAGUCAGUAUAGUGUGAAACUCUAUCUCGGGGUUGUGAGUUCAAGUUCCAUAUGGGGUAUAGAGAUUACUUUAAAAAAAAAAUCUUAAAAAAAAAGAUAGAAGCUAGAAACAAAAAAAGACAAAUACCAGGCUAGAAGAAAUGAAAUAAUAAAAAAAAUCAAACUAGAAAUUGAAUGAAUGAGAUAUAGGAAAUCAAUGAAAAGAUUAAUAAAAACAAAAGCUGUCUCUUUAAAAGGAUAAAUAAAAUUGAUAAAUUGCUAGCUGAACUAUUAGGAGAAAGAAAGGGGAACACAGAAAUCACCAAUAUCAGGAAUGGUAGAGACAUCACUAUAUAUUCUACAGAUAUUAAAGGAAAAUAAGAAAAUAUUAAGAACAUUAUGCCAACAUAUGACAAUUUAGAUGAAAUGGACAUAUUUCUUUAAAGAUGCAAACUAGGGCAGCCCGGGUGGCUCAGCGGUUUAGCGCUGCCUUCAGCCCAGGGUGGAUCCUGGAAACACGGGAUGGAGUCUCUCUCGUUGGGCUCCUUGCAGGAAGCCUGCUUCCCCCUCUGCCUGUGUCUCUGCCUCUGUGUGUGUGUGUGUGUGUGUGUGUGUGUGUGUGUGUGUGUGUCUUUCAUGAAUAAAUAAAUAAAAUCUAAAAUAAAUAGAUAAAAAUAAAAUAAAAUCUUAAAAAAAAAAUAAAGAUGCAAACUACCCAAAUUUACUCAAGAAUAAAUACUAACCUAAAUAGCCUAUUAAAUAAAUUGAAUUUGUAAUUUAAAACUUCCCACAAAACAAAUAAACAAAAGCUUCAGGAUCAAAUGGUUUCACUUGAGAAUCUAACCAAGAACUUAUGAAAAAAAUGAUAUCCGUUCUACACAAACUUUUCCACAGAAUUGAAUAGGAGGUAAUACCUUCCAACUUAUUGCAUGAGGCCAGAAGUUUUCUGGUAUGAAACCAAGACAGAUGUUAUAACAAAAGAAAACCAUAAACCAGUAUCCUACAUGCACAUAGAUGCAAAAAUUUUAAAUAACAUUUUAGCAAAUCAAAUUCAAUAAUAUAUUAAAAAGAUAACAAAACAUGAUCAAAAAGGGUUCAUUCAAAGAAAAUAAGGUUUGGUUUAACAUUCAAAAAUCAAUGUAAUUUACCACAUUAACAGACUAAAAAGUAAAAAUCAUAUGAUCAUCUCAACAAUUCAGUAAGAGCAUUUGACAAAAAUUAAAUAAGCAUAUCUGCUAAGAACUCUUAGCGAAGAAGGACUCGGAGGUAACUUCCUCAACUUGAAAACUUACAGUACUAUAGAAAACUUACAGUUAAUAUUAUACUUAAUGGAGAAAGUUUGAAAGCUUUCUCCUUAAGACUAGGAAAAAGGCAGUGAUGCCUUCCUUACCAUAUCUAUUCAGCAUUAUACUGGAAAUUUUAGCCAGUUCAAUAAGGCAAGUAAAAGAAAUAAAAUGUCUCCAAACUGGAAAAGAAAAGUUGCCUCUAUUUGCAAACAAAAUCCCUCAUAAAUUUCAAAAAACAAAAAUAACUAUUAGAGCCAAUUUAACAAGGUUUCAGGUUAUAAUAUUUUAUUUGUAUACACUAGCAAUGAAUAAUUAAAAUUUUGAAAUGUUUAAAGCAAUACAGUUUAAAAAUCCAAAAAAGAAUUUUAUUCAAUACCUCAUCAAAAUCUAUGGGAUGCAGCAAAAGUAGUUCUAAGAGAGAAGCUUAUAGCAAUACAGGUCUAUCUCAACAAACAAGAAAAGAACAAUUAAUAAAAUGGCAAUAAGUAUAUACCUAUAAAUUUAUAAUUUCUCUAAAUGUAUAUGGACUAAAUUCUAAAUUGAAACACAUGGCACAAUUAUAUGGAUAAAAAACAAAACAACAACAAAAAUAAGAUCAAUCUAUAUGCUGUCUACAAGAGACCCAUCUCAGUUGUAAAGCCAUAUGACCCAGUAAUUCUACUUCUGGGUAUUUACCCAAAGAAAAUAAAAACACUAAUUCAAAGAAGUAUAUAUGCACUCUCAAGUUCAUUGCAGCAUUAUUUACAAUAGUCAGGAUAUGGAAAUAACACAAUUGUCCAUUGAUGGAUGAAUGAGUAAAGAAUAUGUGAUAUACAUAUCACAUAUAUAUCAUAUUACAUAUAUAUCAUAUAUAUGCAUAUAUAUAUAUACACAUACCACGGAAUACUACUCAGCCUUAAAAAAGAAUAAAAUCUUGCCAUUUGUAACAACAUGGAUGGACCUUGAGAGUAUUAUGCCAAGUGAAAUAAGUCAGACACAGAGAGGCAAAUAUCAAAUACCAUAUGAUUUCAGUUAUAUGUGGAAUCUAAAAAAUAAAACAAAACAAAACCUAUAGAUGCAAAA
Molecule: long non-coding RNA, 4069 nt
Filed under: Canis lupus familiaris (dog)
Lineage: Eukaryota; Metazoa; Chordata; Mammalia; Carnivora; Canidae
Description: lncRNA (ENSCAFG00845017314.1)
Source: RNAcentral